AUUGUAAGGUCCUCAAAGAGAUUGCAAUCCAAGACUAGGUUUGUACCCCAUAGAGUUCCUUUGGCUCCUAAAGGAGAGUAAGCAGUGAUAUGUAUACCCUUCUUCUCACAGAAGUCUCUCAGCUUCUUUUGCUGCCAAAGUGGGUUCAUCUCCACUUGAUUAACUAUCAGGAGAAAUCUUUGCGGUAGUAAGCAGGGUCUCAAGCUUCUUGCAUGAAAAGUUGCUCACUCCAAUGGAUUUUGUCAGGCCAAGCUUGUGACACUCUUCCAUAGCUUCCCACACAGAGUUUAUAUCAAAUGGAACAAGGUCCUCUUUCUUCACAGCCAGCUCAUAUUCACCUGGCUUCACGCUUACAGGAAAGUGAAUCAGGUACAGGUCAAGGUAAUCCAAUUUAAGAUUCUUGAGCGUUUUAUGUAAUGCAGGGAGGACACGAUCAUGAUGAGCGUCACUGCACCAAAGCU
This 461-nucleotide unclassified non-coding RNA is filed under the name Hevea brasiliensis (rubber tree). The record is from RNAcentral. Lineage: Eukaryota; Viridiplantae; Streptophyta; Magnoliopsida; Malpighiales; Euphorbiaceae.